UAUGUUUGUUGUGGGCAAAUUAUUUCCCCACACAUUGUGGACGGUGUGUUUCUCCAGAGCGAAGACUCCUGCGCUCUUGGAUCAAAAGCCUCAUCGCCAUGAUGCGCUUCAGCUGCUGGAAGCCUCCAAACUUGAGAUGAUGACGUCCUGCAAGAGAAAAUCCUGCAUCUGUGAACACAUGAUGGAAAUCUGCAGGUAGCGACGCAGAUCUCAGCCUGUGAGGCAGCAGGAGCCUCUGGACCCUUCAGGCUCAUUUAGUUCAAACUACGACAGUAAUAAUAACGAAGACUGACACACAGGUGACACCCGGAGCUCUCCCAUGUUUAGUGAGUUUUAAAACAAACCCAACAUCAGCCCCACUCAGCUCGGGCCCAGUGCUCCGCCGCGCAGCCGAGCUCUGGCUCCCCCUAGCCGUGCCUCCAUGUUUCCUCGUUAAUGCACACCCAACACUGGCCCUCCCUGGUCUAUCUCACACAUUAAACCACCUAAAAACACCUGGAAACCUCCGUUUCUCUUCCCAAACGUGGAGUUCACCCUCUCAGUGUGCCUCUCAGCCCACACUGGGCUCCCCAAGCCCCAGUGGGACAGAGGAUUUCUUACCUUUUCACAGCAGCUGGGACUGAACCUCCCUCACUAGAGUCCCAACCUCGACAACCUCCUUCUUCUUCCCAGCAAUCCCUGCAAAAAAGGACACUUCCAUGUAUGCUGAACAUGUAGGGGUGAUCAAAUUGGACUGGGUCGUUUUUAAAGAGCCAAAAAGGCCCCCAAAACCCCAAAAGGGCCCAUUUUGCACCAAUAAUAAACUAGCUCCAAAUUGCCAUUUUAAAAUUUCUUGACAAUGGUUUUAAACAGUAGAACCCACUCCUCAUAUACACCUUGGUCUACCCCUAUGGUUUGAACUUAUUUUGGCCCAUCCAGUUGUCAUACAGUAGAUUCCAAUGAACCAGGGACAGUCGGUGCGCAGCUGAGCUUUCUGAGACUUUCAGUUGCGUUUAUGUGCGUUUCCAAAGCCCUGGAGCAUCUGGGACAGGCUACAGACAGUCUCUUUGUGGGAUUCGUGGAUCAAUGAGACCCUUUUCUUGUGGACUGGAGCAAAAAAACUCAAAGGGAAAUAUUUUCGCGAGAGCAGAGUCCAACAGCACAAAAAGAAAGCUAUGGAUCCAUAUGGGCAUCUCCAAAAGUGCGCACGUGUAUCCAAAGGCACAAAGGGAUCUCCAAAGGCUCCAAGAAGGGAAAGUUAAAGUUUAUCCAGCAUAAAAGGUAAUUUAAAUCAUAAAUUUGUCUAAAUUAUAUCAGUUGUACGCAAAAAUUGAAGGUUACACUCAAAGAAACGUCGAAUUUGAAGUCCAGUAGAAAGCAAAUUGCGAGGAGAGAAUUGUUCCAAAUGGCGCAGUGGCACUGUAGACACUGAAGUGAUUAAUUCCUCAUAUUUAAAUGUAUUAUUUUCUUAAAUAUUUACUAAGAAAUACUCACAGAACAUUAGCAAAGAUCACAGGUUAAAAAUAUCUAUAUAUCUGAUCAUCAGUAUCCAUUAAUCAGGCGUAACCCUGAAUUGUAAACGCACCAUUCA
Molecule: long non-coding RNA, 1570 nt
Organism: Hippoglossus stenolepis (Pacific halibut)
Lineage: Eukaryota; Metazoa; Chordata; Actinopteri; Pleuronectiformes; Pleuronectidae
Exons: 3
Source: RefSeq, a predicted model, not a curated record